ACGCUUUCGGGUUGUUAAGACUUCAGCAGGGAGUAGUGUUGUGGUUCAUAACCGCAGCAAUUGACGUUACCGCAGACGAGCACCGCUACUCCCGUGCCAGCAGCCGCGUAUACGAGGUGCCAGCGUUAAUCGGAAUUACUGGGCGUAAAGCGCACGCAGGCGGUCUGUCAGUCGGAUGUGAAUCCCCGGGCUCAACCUGGGAACUGCAUUUGAAACUGGCAGGCUUGAGUCUGUAGAGGGGGGGUAGAUUCCCAGGUGUAGCGGUGAAAUGCGUAGAGAUCUGGAGGAAUACCGGUGGCGAAGGCGGCCCCCUGGACAAAGACUGACGCUCAGGUGCGAAAGCGUGGGGAGCAAACAGGAUUUAGAUACCCUGGUAGUCCACGCCGUAAACGAUGUCUACUUGGAGGUUGUGCCCUUGAGGCGUGGCUUCCGGAGCUAACGCGUUAAGUAGACCGCCUGGGGAGUACGGCCGCAAGGUUAAAACUCAAAUGAAUUGACGGGGGCCCGCACAAGCGGUGGAGCAUGUGGUUUAAUUCGAUGCAACGCGAAGAACCUUACCUGGUCUUGACAUCCACAGAAGAUUCCAGAGAUGGAUUGGUGCCUUCGGGAACUGUGAGACAGGUGCUGCAUGGCUGUCGUCAGCUCGUGUUGUGAAAUGUUGGGUUAAGUCCCGCAACGAGCGCAACCCUUAUCCUUUGUUGCCAGCGAUUAGGUCGGGAACUCAAAGGAGACUGCCAGUGAUAAACUGGAGGAAGGUGGGGAUGACGUCAAGUCAUCAUGGCCCUUACGACCAGGGCUACACACGUGCUACAAUGGCGCAUACAAAGAGAAGCGACCUCGCGAGAGCAAGCGGAGCUCAUAAAGUGCGUCGUAGUCCGGAUUGGAGUCUGCAACUCGACUCCAUGAAGUCGGAAUCGCUAGUAAUCGUGGAUCAGAAUGCCACGGUGAAUACGUUCCCGGGCCUUGUACACACCGCCCGUCACACCAUGGGAGUGGGUUGCAAAAGAAGUAGGUAGCUUAACCUUCGGGAGGGCGCUUACCACUUUGUGAUUCAUGACUGGGGUGAAGU
RNAcentral lists this ribosomal RNA (1069 nucleotides) under Salmonella enterica subsp. enterica serovar Typhimurium. Its description in RNAcentral is "bacterial SSU rRNA". It matches the Rfam family "Bacterial small subunit ribosomal RNA", at positions 412 to 1486 of the family's 1533-position model. The record is from RNAcentral. Lineage: Bacteria; Pseudomonadati; Pseudomonadota; Gammaproteobacteria; Enterobacterales; Enterobacteriaceae.